This 229-nucleotide long non-coding RNA is filed under the name Mytilus galloprovincialis (Mediterranean mussel). The record is from RNAcentral. Lineage: Eukaryota; Metazoa; Mollusca; Bivalvia; Mytilida; Mytilidae.
CAAUCGCCAAUGGCAGUCAGCAGGGUUUAAGAACAUCAGUUGUUCGACCUGUUAGUCAAAUGCGUUUUGUUUAAAUAUAUUUUUUCACUUUUUUGGUCUUUUGGAAAAUGUUGCUUGAGCUGUAUUUAGACCCUUCUACAACGAAAUUUGUUUUACAUGCACACGUAUAAAAUUGCGGUUUUUAUCCAACGCAAUCAUAGGUUUGAACGUAGUUUUCAAUUUAGACUCG